Miniopterus natalensis is the source of this 298-nucleotide non-coding RNA. The record is from RefSeq and is a predicted model, not a curated record. Lineage: Eukaryota; Metazoa; Chordata; Mammalia; Chiroptera; Miniopteridae.
UUCUGAGGAAUUCUGCCGGAGGCGCGGAAGCUCUGGGGUUUGCGGGGUAGCGACGGCCACACCGGCCGGCUGGCGGUGGGUCUCGGAGUCAUUUUCUUCCACAGUCAAGUGUCCUAGAGCCGUCAUCUUGCUUCAGGAACGUGAACCCUCCCUCUUAUUUUAGUGACCCACAAACGAAUACCCCGCAGGGAAUUUUUUCAUAACAAAAUUUUGGGACGAUAAAGGGAGCCAUCUUCUGGAAGAAACUGGUAUUACUGAUGGGCUGAAAAAGCUCCAGGCCCAGAAAAGCAGUGAAACC